GAAAGCUAUUUAGGUAGCGCCUCGUGAAUUCAUCUCCGGGGGUAGAGCACUGUUUCGGCAAGGGGGUCAUCCCGACUUACCAACCCGAUGCAAACUGCGAAUACCGGAGAAUGUUAUCACGGGAGACACACGGCGGGUGCUAACGUCCGUCGUGAAGAGGGAAACAACCCAGACCGCCAGCUAAGGUCCCAAAGUCAUGGUUAAGUGGGAAACGAUGUGGGAAGGCCCAGACAGCCAGGAUGUUGGCUUAGAAGCAGCCAUCAUUUAAAGAAAGCGUAAUAGCUCACUGGUCGAGUCGGCCUGCGCGGAAGAUGUAACGGGGCUAAACCAUGCACCGAAGCUGCGGCAGCGACACUGUGUGUUGUUGGGUAGGGGAGCGUUCUGUAAGCCUGUGAAGGUGUGCUGUGAGGCAUGCUGGAGGUAUCAGAAGUGCGAAUGCUGACAUAAGUAACGAUAAAGCGGGUGAAAAGCCCGCUCGCCGGAAGACCAAGGGUUCCUGUCCAACGUUAAUCGGGGCAGGGUGAGUCGACCCCUAAGGCGAGGCCGAAAGGCGUAGUCGAUGGGAAACAGGUUAAUAUUCCUGUACUUGGUGUUACUGCGAAGGGGGGACGGAGAAGGCUAUGUUGGCCGGGCGACGGUUGUCCCGGUUUAAGCGUGUAGGCUGGUUUUCCAGGCAAAUCCGGAGAAUCAAGGCUGAGGCGUGAUGACGAGGCACUACGGUGCUGAAGCAACAAAUGCCCUGCUUCCAGGAAAAGCCUCUAAGCAUCAGGUAACAUCAAAUCGUACCCCAAACCGACACAGGUGGUCAGGUAGAGAAUACCAAGGCGCUUGAGAGAACUCGGGUGAAGGAACUAGGCAAAAUGGUGCCGUAACUUCGGGAGAAGGCACGCUGAUAUGUAGGUGAAGCGACUUGCUCGUGGAGCUGAAAUCAGUCGAAGAUACCAGCUGGCUGCAACUGUUUAUUAAAAACACAGCACUGUGCAAACACGAAAGUGGACGUAUACGGUGUGACGCCUGCCCGGUGCCGGAAGGUUAAUUGAUGGGGUCAGCGCAAGCGAAGCUCUUGAUCGAAGCCCCGGUAAACGGCGGCCGUAACUAUAACGGUCCUAAGGUAGCGAAAUUCCUUGUCGGGUAAGUUCCGACCUGCACGAAUGGCGUAAUGAUGGCCAGGCUGUCUCCACCCGAGACUCAGUGAAAUUGAACUCGCUGUGAAGAUGCAGUGUACCCGCGGCAAGACGGAAAGACCCCGUGAACCUUUACUAUAGCUUGACACUGAACACUGGUCCUUGAUGUGUAGGAUAGGUGGGAGGCUUUGAAGUGUGGACGCCAGUCUGCAUGGAGCCGUCCUUGAAAUACCACCCUUUAAUGGCUGGUGUUCUAACGUUGGCCCCUUACCGGGGUUGCGGACAGUGUCUGGUGGGUAGUUUGACUGGGGCGGUCUCCUCCUAAAGAGUAACGGAGGAGCACGAAGGUUGGCUAAUCCUGGUCGGACAUCAGGAGGUUAGUGCAAUGGCAUAAGCCAGCUUGACUGCGAGCGUGACGGCGCGAGCAGGUGCGAAAGCAGGUCAUAGUGAUCCGGUGGUUCUGAAUGGAAGGGCCAUCGCUCAACGGAUAAAAGGUACUCCGGGGAUAACAGGCUGAUACCGCCCAAGAGUUCAUAUCGACGGCGGUGUUUGGCACCUCGAUGUCGGCUCAUCACAUCCUGGGGCUGAAGUAGGUCCCAAGGGUAUGGCUGUUCGCCAUUUAAAGUGGUACGCGAGCUGGGUUUAGAACGUCGUGAGACAGUUCGGUCCCUAUCUGCCGUGGGCGCUGGAGAACUGAGGGGGGCUGCUCCUAGUACGAGAGGACCGGAGUGGACGCAUCACUGGUGUUCGGGUUGUCAUGCCAAUGGCACUGCCCGGUAGCUAAAUGCGGAAGAGAUAAGUGCUGAAAGCAUCUAAGCACGAAACUUGCCCCGAGAUGAGUUCUCCCUGAGACCUGGAGUCUCCUGAAGGAACGUUGAAGACGACGACGUUGAUAGGCCGGGUGUGUAAGCGCAGCGAUGCGUUGAGCUAACCGGUACUAAUGAACCGUGAGGCUUAACCUU
Molecule: ribosomal RNA, 2086 nt
Filed under: Escherichia albertii
Lineage: Bacteria; Pseudomonadati; Pseudomonadota; Gammaproteobacteria; Enterobacterales; Enterobacteriaceae
Description: bacterial LSU rRNA
Rfam family: Bacterial large subunit ribosomal RNA
Source: RNAcentral